GUUUCAUAAGCUAAUACACAAAGAGUGGUGAGGUUUUCACAUUAUAGCUCUUGGGAUGGGGGAAGCAGAGACUACCGAUCAAAUCCGUUUUUACUAACAGCACCGUUGCACAAUUGUAACGCUAAAUUGGAUUUCAUAAUCCAAUUUUCAUAAACCAAUGGUUUCAUAAAGUAGAAAGUUCAGUGUGGCACAAGGUAAGGCGCUGCUCUUACCCAGCACUUAAAAGGAGCAUAGAAACAAACCCAAUCUUUGCACAGUCCCAGCCAGCCAGCUUCAUAAACUGUUACCUUUAGCCGCUGGAGCGAUACUCUACUUCCUAGAUAAAGUAAAAACAAUAACCUACACAUAGGCCGUGUUUUUAGGCCGGCUCUAGCACCUUCCCUUCCCUUCCCUUCCCUUCCCUUCCCUUCCCUUCCCUUCCCGGCCCCCGGAGGCAGCAGCCGCCCUCGGCGGAAGAUAUUUCUAGACUUGAAGCAAUUUACGUGCAAAAGCCAAUUAGCGCGUCUGCAAACGGACACAUUGAUCUCUGCUUUCUCUCCUUCCUUCCUUCCUUCCCGCCCGGCCCGCUUUCCCGGCCCCCGCCCCCGGGCCCGGGCCGACCCGCCGCCGCCACCAUGCCGCGGGGCCCCCUGGGUACUGUAGUUUUCGGCGGCGGCGCGGCGGAGGAUGCUUUCCCGCUCCUUAAAAUCCCCCUGAAGGAAAACUAAUGGCCGAUCGAGUGCUUGUGAUUGGCAGUGGAGGGAGAGAGCAUGCGCUGGCCUGGAAGUUGGCCCAGUCUCCACAUGUAAAACAUGUGUAUGUUGCUCCAGGAAAUGCAGGAACAGCUGACAAUGGAAAAAUUUCAAAUUCAGGUAAAAAUUAAAAAAUACCUUCUUAAAAUUUGCUAACUCAACAAGUAAGUUGUUCCAUUCAUCAAUCUGUUAAUAUGAAAAGAUUAUUAUUAUUACUA
Molecule: long non-coding RNA, 949 nt
Filed under: Calidris pygmaea (Spoon-billed sandpiper)
Lineage: Eukaryota; Metazoa; Chordata; Aves; Charadriiformes; Scolopacidae
Description: lncRNA (ENSCPGG00000012869.1)
Source: RNAcentral